CUCUCCCUUCGCGGCUCGCUUUCUUCCCCUUCGCGUUCCUGGCGAGCAAGCCCCUUCCCUUCCCCCGCCCCUCAUUGUCUCGAAGAGCGUAUUGCCCAAUUUUCUCCGGGCGAAGGAGAAAACUAACUAUGGACGAGGACAAGGUGGCCUCCGCGGCUGCUCCCGCGAACACCACGUAGAAGAGCCGCCGCCGCCGCCCCCUUUCUUUCUCUUUCCUUUCGUCGGGUGGAGCGGGGCUUCCUCCUCCUCCGGGGGCUGCAGCCGCCGCCGCCACCGCCUCUGCCCCGUUGUUCGUGGGCGGCCGGGCGCCGCUUUCUCCGGGGGCGCGCUCCCACGCCCAGCCCAGCCCAGCCAGAUGUGCGACCUGCUCGACUCGCAGCCUCCGGCCGAGCAGAAACUCAGCAGGAUGAAAAAGUUGCGGCGAACUUUGUCGGAGAGUUUCGGCCGACUAGCCUUGAAGAAAGAUGAUAAUGGUGUUGAUGAGAUAUGUGUCACAAAGAUGUCUACACGGAAUUGCCAAGGAAUGGAUUCAGUGAUCAAACCCUUGGACACAAUUCCAGAAGACAAAAAAGUCAGAGUUCAAAGGACACAGAGCACGUUUGAUCCAUUUGAGAAGCCAAAUAAUCAAGUGAAGAGGGUCCAUUCAGAGAACAAUGCCUGCAUUAACUUCAAGACUUCAUCUACUGGGAAAGAAUCUCCUAAAAUCAGACGACAUUCCAGUCCUAGCUCUCCAACAAGUCCCAAGUUUGGAAAGGCAGACUCAUAUGAAAAACUGGAAAAACUAGGGGAAGGCUCAUAUGCCACAGUAUACAAAGGCAAAAGCAAGGUGAAUGGCAAGUUGGUGGCACUGAAGGUGAUAAGACUUCAAGAAGAAGAAGGCACUCCAUUUACAGCCAUCAGGGAAGCUUCUCUUUUGAAAGGUCUAAAACAUGCAAAUAUUGUGUUACUUCAUGAUAUCAUCCACACAAAGGAGACAUUGACACUAGUAUUUGAGUUUGUGCACACUGAUUUAUGUCAGUACAUGGACAAACAUCCAGGAGGACUUCAUCCAGACAAUGUGAAGUUAUUUUUAUUUCAAUUGCUGCGAGGACUUUCGUACAUCCACCAGCGUUACAUUUUGCACAGGGACCUGAAACCCCAAAACCUUCUGAUCAGUGACACUGGGGAGUUGAAGCUGGCAGAUUUUGGACUUGCAAGAGCCAAAUCUGUUCCCAGUCAUACAUACUCUAAUGAAGUUGUUACCUUGUGGUAUAGACCUCCAGAUGUCCUCUUAGGCUCAACAGAAUAUUCCACCUGCCUUGAUAUGUGGGGAGUUGGUUGUAUCUUUGUAGAAAUGAUUCAAGGAGUAGCUGCUUUUCCAGGAAUGAAAGACAUUCAAGAUCAACUUGAAAGAAUAUUUUUGGUACUUGGGACACCAAAUGAAGAUUCAUGGCCUGGAGUUCAUUCUUUACCCCAUUUCAAACUAGAUCGGUUUACACAGUACAGUGCUAAAAACCUUAGGCAAGCCUGGAAUAAGCUAAGCUAUGUGAACCAUGCAGAGGAUCUGGCCUCCAAAUUACUGCAGUGUUUCCCAAAGAACAGAUUGUCAGCACAGGCAGCUCUGAGCCAUGAGUAUUUCAGUGAUCUCCCCCCACGGCUAUGGGAACUAACAGACAUGUCUUCUAUUUUUUCUGUACCGAAUGUAAGAUUACAAGCAGAGGCUGGAGAAAGCAUGAAAGUCUUUGGAAAAAACAAUAUUUAUGGCAAAAGUUUAUCAAAACAUUAAGCACUGAAGAGAAAGUUGGUUUCCCACAAACAAUUCAGGAACAGAUGGACAUUCAAGUGCACAUCAGAAUGACAAUUUCAAGCAAACUCAAGAAAGAAUUCUGCUUGUGGCUGGAGCCAAUGAGAAGCAAGAAUUAAGAUCACAAGACUAGAGGAGAGAAACAAAACCUAAUGAGAGCUCCAAAACUAUGAAGAUACCAUGGUCCUGUUUCUUUUCUCAGAGGUGGAUUUCUGUAACAGGAAAAAUGAUGCUGGCAAGAUCUUGUUCCCAUAUCCCUCUCAGUUUAUUUAAAACCUUGCACGUGUUUUGAUACUUUGUGACUUCAGAAACCUCUGUGAAAACUAAGGGGCUUUUUUUUCUUACUGAUAUGCAGCAUGUUCUUUCUUCUUGGCAUUUUAUGUUUGGUUUUAUUUGGUUUUUCUACUGCAGCGCACCACUCUUGUGAAGAUUUUUAUGCUUUCACCAUCAGUGUCUUUAAUACAUUAAGACAAUACAUUUCGUGUCCAUACACUUCCUCAGUAAUGUCUGUAGAUAAAAGCCAAUCAUGACAUUAAACAACUGGCGUAUAAACAAAUGAGAAGUUCCACGAAUUUUUCAGUUUGUCAUAAAAACAUCUCUUAAGCUUUACUAAAGUUUGCAAGUUGGUUAUGGCACAGUAUCUUACAACUGUGUUCAUUUCUUACUGUUAGGGAAUAUCAUGUUCCACUCUUUAACCAUGGCAAUAAUUUAAGUUAAAACGCUGAAUUUGGGUACUUUGCCUAUGUUGCGUAAUUUGGCAGAUUUCAAAACAGAUCUGCAUAUAUAUACAUAUAUAUAUAUAUAUACAUAUGAUAUUAUUGAUAAAUUCAAAUAUACUACCCCCUUUUUAGAAAAAGGGACUUUUCCUGUUUUUGUGGUUCCAUUUCUACUUUUUCAUAUAGUUUAGUUAAAAAAUAUUUUCUAAGAAGGAAAAUAGAGAUGAUGGAGAAAUGAGUUUACAUUAGGAUAAGCACUAUGGUAUAGAAACUCUAGUUGCUGAAUGAGCCAUUUAAAAAAAACCCUAGUUUUGAAUACUCAUCCAAAUUCCAAAUAUUUGCUCUUCCAAACCAAAGCAUCUUUCCAGUUAUUUUUCUAAGAUACUCUGUUAUCAUUGAAUAAUACUACUUCAAAGAGGAUUUUCCCCAAUAAUUGUUCAAAUUUUUAAAGAUAGGCACAACUAUGAAUUAAUUGGAGGGUCUUUAGUUCUCCUCCUUUUGUGGUAGAAGGGAAGAUGGAACUCAUGUGAAUCUUAAGGACUGUGGCUGCUUUAGCUUGCCUCAUAUCAUCCCUAAUAUGAUUGAUAGCUGUUCAGUUCUAGGAGAUGGGAAAUACCAGAAAACCAAUAAAUGAAUGUCCUUAGAGUGGGGAUUUCUCAGUCAUUUUAUUCAACACAGAAAGCUAUAUUGUCUCCCUAUUACAUCAGCUACCCAAAAAACACCUAUUUUUGUAACACCUUGACUACAGCAUCUAAAGCUUGUUAGAGAAAGGAUAAAGGACCCAUUCUGCAUUUUCUUUCUUAAACUGAUGGCUUAAUAAUAGAUUUGACAGUACUUGAUCUUUCAAAAUACUUACUUUUAGCAUAAGAAAACAAUGGUAAUUCUUGUUCUGCUGUGAUAAUUUUCCUGGUAGUUAAGCAUGUAUCUCUAUUGUGGCCAGGACAGUUUUACUACCUAAGUACUUCUUAGGGUAGUAAAUAUCUACUUUGCUUAAAUAUCUUGAAAUUCAUUUGUAUAUCUGUUAAAACAGAUAAUCACAAAAUCUGAUGGAAAAAUUUGAACAGAACACAAAUGCCUUAACUAUGAUUUGCUAUGAGUUUCAUACUCAAAUUUUAUAAGAAAUUUUAUUUGACAAAUUAGGUGAUAUAUUCAGUUGGCUGUUUCAAGAUGAGGGUCUCUUUGUAAAACAAGUAUCAGUGCUUGCAAAAGUGUGAAGAAUCUUUGAAAAUGUAACAAAGGUUUCAAUUAAGAAAAUGAGGGUAGAUCCUGUAAAUCUCUUACUUUGGCAGCAUAAGGAGGGAUCGAAGUAAUUAUGCCCUGCCUGAAGUGGAUGAUGGUUUGAGGUAGAGAGUGACUCCACUGAUGUGCUCCCUUCCUUGAGCUAAAUGCCUAGCACCUUAGUAUCUACAAUAAAUCAGACAUUCAGGGUUUUUGCGUAGGUUUUUUUAGUGUGUGUGUGUGCUUGCAUGCUUUCAGCACUUCUUUUUUAAAAUAGCCAUUGGUCCCAUUGAACACAUUGACUAAUAUUCCCCCAGUUAUCAUCUUUCAGUCUUAGAGUCUGUUCCCACUGCAAACAUAUCAUUCCAGACAAUAUGUUUUUAAUCCAGGAGUCUUGCUUUAGGGAAAGGAGAAUAGACUUGAGGUCAGGAAAACCCCUGCCUUAGCAUAUCCUCAUUUCCAUCUUCUUCCACACAACAACCCAAAUGAGGGUUCCAGCUGUUUAGCUCAAAGGUCAAUAUAUUGGGAAGGCAUCCUCCCUAUUCAGCACAGACUGAAGUAGAAAACAGUAGCACUCCUUGAGCCCCUUGUUUCUGGAAGCAUGGAGUCCUGUUGCACCUACUCACAUACAAUGAACAUUGUUCCACCCAAAGUGGUAGGCACAGUCAAGGUAGUUUCCUGUACAGGGUGAAGAAAUAAGAGGGAUGCAACCCAGCUCACCAGAUGGCAAAGGGUUUUGGAAUGAUUUCUCAUGAAGUAUGGCAUGCAUAAAACUAAAUAUCUGCAUCCACACAAAUUUCCCAAGAAGAAUCUGUGAUAAAAAGGUUACAUUUGUCUCAGAUCCUUCCCACAGAACUCAGAUGAAUCCAUGUAGAUUUCAAUUCCAGUGUCAUUGUUCACUUGGAUCCUGCCAUAGAAAUCAUUCCAAAAGCAUACAUGAAAAGGAAAUUACUGGUGGGCCUUAAAGAAGUUAAAGUUGGGUUUUCUUUAAGGGAAAGAGAUUUCAACUAAAUUCAAGCCAAAUGAGCUUGACUUUUAUAGUGCUUGUUUUCUUGUUAUUAGGGAAAAAAUAAUUAUGCUGGAAUGCAAGUUAAAAGCUGCAAUUUUAUGAAAAAAUAGCCUAAUGUUAUGCUGGAUCCACAUCAUUAGGCUGAUAGGAAGAAAAAUCCAGUGCACUAUUAACUAAAGUCCACAACUAACUUAGUAAGUAGUGAUUAAGAAAUCCAGUACUUUUUAGAGCACAAGCCAAACCUACAUAGAUUAUAGCCCAAAAUAUUUUCCAACAUCCUGUUUCUGAUUCUGUUGUUGAAUUUCAAGGUAGGGUAAAGUUUUCAGAGCUUCCUGCAUAGCUAUUUUACCUUUUAAUUAUUCCUUUAAGAGUCACUCAUACAAAAUCAUUAAUUCCCAGAACUCAGUUCUGAAGAUGUAAAUGCAAUUCAGGAUGGGUUUGAACACUACAUAACAUGGGAGUUUACAUUUUGCAACUACCUCCAUCAUUAGCUGUGCAAGGUCUCUUUGCAUCUGAACUUUAUGCACUUGACUGCAGCAGGAAAUGGGGAUGUUGAACUUUGGACACAAUAAAGCCCUAAAAACCAAGUAGCCAUGUCACUUGCACUUCCUGUAUUCCCCAUAUUAUGUAAUGCCUGAAGCUCAUCUGAGCUUUUCAGUAUUACAGCAAGAGUCAAGAUUUGGUACAAUUCUUGUCCCCCUCCUAGGUACUUAAAAGGACACCAUGUAUAUCCAUAGUUUUCUGUGUAUACAUCAAUGAUUGUGGCCUAAUUCUUAUAUUACUGAAGCAACAUGGUUCCCGUGCCUUUCCAGUUAAAUUUGAAGGGAUAGUCACAUGGAAUCUUGUUAGUCCCACGUGAAUAGGCAUAACUACUGCCUGUGUAAUCCAACCAGUCCACAUUAUUCUUUGCUUCAAAUGCCACCAGAGCAGUCAAAGAACCAUCAAUGAGAUAGUCAGUGGAAAAGAAGCAGCAACAAUGCUGUUUGAUAACAUAUGGAUUAGGUCUGUAUGGUUGGUAAUAGUAGUGAGACAGCCUUCCUGUUCCUUACAAGUCCCUUAAACACACCACUGCUUAUUUCAAUGGACUUACCUAUGAAGAUAGGAGAUUCUGCAAUUGUAAGGAGAGGGAGAGUUGUCAGUUUGAAGUGAAAGUUGGAUUGCAUCAUAUGAGAAAUAGGGUGGUAAUCAAUAUUACCAUAAGUUUCCUUAAGUUAAACCAGGAGAUGGUAGCACUUUGCUUCAAUGAUUGUCUCAUUCAGAGCAACCCUACCAAACAUACAGAACAGCUGAGCCACAUAAUAAUAUUGCUGUUACUCGACUACAUAGUAUCUUCUGAUUCUAUUUGUUAUUUUAUGAAUCAGUCGGUAUACCACCACAGGGAAUGUUAAUGCAUCAUGGCUGGAGAGACUUGGGGUUCAAGUCUUCCUUCUAAUGUGUAGAUGGACUUUGCACAGGCAUUUCCUAUUCAUCCUGGCUUAAUUUAGAACAAGCGUUACCCCUCUCAUCCAUGAGGGGAAAUAGAUCUUGAUGUGCAGAUACCAGCCUACGUGUGGUUUUAUAAUCUGAUAUAAUUAAUUGCGUUUAGACUGUAUGGAAUGGCACUGAAUAUGGACACCGUAUAAAUAAAAUUGUGUUCCAUUGUUGACAAUAACCAUGGCCUUCUCUCUUGGCAUAAAGAUGUGGAGGUAAUUCUAUAUGCUGUUGCCUUGCAAUAUUCUUAAAAGCAAAAAUUGAAAUGAUGCACUAAGAAAUUCCCCAAUCCCGCUCCCCAAAAACCUGCACUUCUACAGUGCUACACAAAAUCUUCCCUUACUGGGGUUCUUUAUAUGAGGCACAAAAAGGUGCUCUUUUUAACAGGGGUUUGGUACUCAAACAAUGUUAAUAUUAAGUAUGUAUACAUACAUAUAGCCACACACUUUAGAAUGUCGCUUAGUAAGCAGUAUGGUUAAAUAAAUGUUACAUUGUUUUCAAUGUGUAAUGUGUCUGUAUUAUGAAAGAUGUAAUGGUUUGUCAGGUGUUAACUGUUUUCAUGUAAUAUGAUAUUUAAUAAAGUGUAACAGGA
This is an RNA transcript of Varanus komodoensis (Komodo dragon), 6788 nucleotides long. It is a transcript of the gene named cyclin dependent kinase 14, with no coding region annotated. The record is from RefSeq and is a predicted model, not a curated record. NCBI's taxonomy places the organism in Eukaryota, Metazoa, Chordata, Lepidosauria, Squamata, Varanidae. The transcript has 16 exons.